GGAGGCAAGCAAGACCUCUUCAUUUUAAAGCUGUUGUCACUUGAUUCACGAGUAUUUUCUAGAUACAAGCCGUCACUUGGUCUCUUAUUUCCCUACAACAGUUUGGCAGAUAGUAAACAAUUCUUCAUAAAAGAGGCCUGCUUCACGUUUUUUUGUUGGCACGACCAGUUGACGUUUUGCUGGAAAACUAAAUAAGAGAAUUACACUUUUGGGUAUUUAACAAACAGCCCAUCAAGUAUCUUUAUCUGACCAAAGUCUGCAAGCUUAAAUUCAAAAUGCCACCAAGCGAGCAUGGAUGUUGUGGUGGCUCAACUAAAAAGUAAAACUGAAAACAUUGCAAAGCCUCCCAAUAUCACAAAGUACUUCAAUCGAAGUAAUUAAUGGUUGAAUUGUGUUGGCCUCAAAGUAUAAAUGUUUUGUUGUCGGCAAAAAAAAUCUGGAUCACAACAUUUGAUCGCGAUGAUAUUGUCUGAACAAUCAUUUAUUUAAAUGGUAGCAAAACAAAACAAAAAAAACAAAUGCAAUACAUUUGGCAGAAUUCUUAUUCUUCCAUUUUUCUGUGUUUUAAUGUUUUCAACGUGAUUUCAACAAUGUCUUUAACUGAUUUCCCUCUCGUGCUAUUUACAGACUUUGUGGGCGUUCAUAAGAAGUCGUCUUCAAACGUGAUUUGAUUUGUAAUGUAGGGCAGCGUGCACACAGGAGGACGCACACGCCGACGACAUAAGAUCCGCCGCCCCUGGCGAGGGCUCCCCCGGCAGCGGCUCGCCGUUGUGCACCGGCGAAUCCUGGGAGGACGUCUCCGGGGGGUUGAUGAUGACCGAUUUCUCCGAGCGGCUGCUGUCUUUACUGCCGCUGGCCUUGUGACGUUCGCGGCCUCGCUCGCUGGACGGAGGACGACAAAGAUGGCGUGAGGGUGACUGAAGUCAAGAUUCAACCGAAAUAGUUCUCUCGUUUGCAGAGCAGACCGAGCGCAUCAGUGAUUCGAGCCACCGAAGUGCGACGGCCCAAAAUCACACGAGCGUCUGUCUCCCCGCUCCCACCCUCGACCAACUCAUCAAAGUUAUCAGGAGGCCCAAAUAAGCACAAAGCAGGCGCGAGUGAAGCGUCUGACGGGAAACUCACCC
Long non-coding RNA from Phyllopteryx taeniolatus (common seadragon), 1124 nucleotides. RefSeq lists it as uncharacterized. Lineage: Eukaryota; Metazoa; Chordata; Actinopteri; Syngnathiformes; Syngnathidae. The transcript has 3 exons. The record is from RefSeq and is a predicted model, not a curated record.